GUCCGAUUCAUUCGAAAAUUUCAGGGCAGAGAAAUAUUGACCUGAUAAACAAUUUUACCCCUUGUCAGAUUUGCUCUAAAUGCUUUGGUUUUUAUGUUUUAAGCCAAAAACUGCAUUUUACCCCUAUGUUCUAUUUUUAGCCAUGGCAGCCAUCUUGGUUGGUUGGCCGGGUCACCGGACACAAUUUUUAAACUAGAUAUCCCAAUUAUGAUUGUGGCCAAGUUUGACUUAAUUUGGCCCAGUAGUUUCAGAGGAGAAGAUUUUUGUAUAAGAUAACUAAGAUUUACGAAAAAUGUUUAAAAAUUGACUAUAAAGGGCAAUAACUCCUAAAGGGGUCAACUGAAAAUUUGGACUUGAUGACUUAUUUGUAAAUCUUACUUUGCUGAACAUUUUUCCUAUUUACAGUUUAUCUCUAUCUAUAAUAAUAUUCAAGAUAAUAACCGAAAAUAGCAACAAUUUCCUUAAAAUGACCAAUUCAGGGGCAGCAACCUAACAACGGGUUGUCCGAUUCAUCUGAAAAUUUCAGAGCAGAUAGAUCUUGACCUGAUAAACAAUUUUACUCAUCUCAGGUUUGCUCUAAAUGCUUUGGUUUUUGAAUUAUAAGCCAAAAAAUGCAUUUUACCCCUAUGUUCUAUUUUUAGACAUGGCGGCCAUCUUGGUUGGUUGGCCGGGUCACCGG
This 679-nucleotide long non-coding RNA is filed under the name Mytilus galloprovincialis (Mediterranean mussel). Lineage: Eukaryota; Metazoa; Mollusca; Bivalvia; Mytilida; Mytilidae. The record is from RNAcentral.